This 427-nucleotide ribosomal RNA is filed under the name uncultured Enterobacteriaceae bacterium. RNAcentral describes it as "bacterial SSU rRNA". It matches the Rfam family "Bacterial small subunit ribosomal RNA", at positions 355 to 774 of the family's 1533-position model. The record is from RNAcentral. Lineage: Bacteria; Pseudomonadati; Pseudomonadota; Gammaproteobacteria; Enterobacterales; Enterobacteriaceae.
UGGGGAAUAUUGCACAAUGGGCGCAAGCCUGAUGCAGCCAUGCCGCGUGUAUGAAGAAGGCCUUCGGGUUGUAAAGUACUUUCAGCGGGGAGGAAGGGAGUAAAGUUAAUACCUUUGCUCAUUGACGUUACCCGCAGAAGAAGCACCGGCUAACUCCGUGCCAGCAGCCGCGGUAAUACGGAGGGUGCAAGCGUUAAUCGGAAUUACUGGGCGUAAAGCGUGCGUAGGUGGUUUGUUAAGUCUGAUGUGAAAGCCCUGGGCUUAACCUGGGAAUUGCGUUGGAAACUGGCAAGCUAGAGUCGGACAGAGGGUCGUGGAAUUUCCGGUGUAGCGGUGAAAUGCGUAGAGAUCGGAAAGAACAUCAGUGGCGAAGGCGUCGACCUGGGUCCAGACUGACACUGAGGUGCGAAAGCAUGGGGAGCAAACA